Dromaius novaehollandiae (emu) is the source of this 2273-nucleotide long non-coding RNA. RefSeq lists it as uncharacterized. The record is from RefSeq and is a predicted model, not a curated record. The transcript has 5 exons. Lineage: Eukaryota; Metazoa; Chordata; Aves; Casuariiformes; Dromaiidae.
UAUACACAUUGAUAAGGUCCCGCCUCAGCCUCCUCUACUCCAGGCUGAACAGUCCCAACUCUCUCAGUCUUUCCACAUAUGAGAGAUGCUCCAGUCCCUUCAUCAUCUUAGUGGCCUUCUGCUGGACUCGCUCCAGUACGUCCAUAUCUCUCUUGUAUCGGGGAGCCCAGAACUGGACACAGUACUCUGGAUGCGGCCUCACCAGGGCUGAGUAGAGGGGGAGGAUCACCUCCCUCAACCUGCCGGCAAUGCUCUUCCUAAUGCACCCCGGGAUACCAUUGGCCUUCUUGGCCACAAGGGCACAUUGCUGGCUCAUGGUUAACUUCUUGUCCACCAGGACCCCCAGGACCUUCUCCACAGAGCUGCUUUCCAGAAGGUCAUCCCCCAGCCUGUGCUGGUACAUGAGGUUAUUCCUCCCUAGGUGCAGGACCCUACACUUGCCUUUGUUGAACUUCAUGAGGUUCCUCUCUGCCCAUCUCUCCAGCCUGUCCAGGUCCCUCUGAAUGGCAGCACAGCCCUCUGGUGUAUCAGCCACUCCUCCCAGUUUUGUAUCAUCAGCAAACUUGCUGAGGGUGCACUCUGUCCCUUCAUCCAGGUCACUGAUGAAGAAGUUGAACAAUAUUGGACCCAGCAUUGACCCCUGGGGCACACCGCUAGUUACUGGCCUCCAAGUAGACUUUGCACUGCUGAGCACAACCCUCUGAGCUUUGCCAUUCAGCCAGUUUUCAGUCCACCUCCCUGUCUGCUCAUCUAGCUUGCACUUCCUCAGCUUGCCUAUGAGGAUCUUAUGAGAGACAGUGUCAAAAGCCUUGCCGAAGCCAAGGGAGACAACAUCCACUGCUCUCCCCUCCUCUACCCAGCGAGUCAUCCCAUCACAGAAGGCUCUCAGGCUGGUUAAGCAUGAUUUCCCCUUUGUGAAUCCAUGCUGACUACUACUGAUCACCUUCUUAUCCUUCAUGAGCCUGGAAAUGGUAUCCGGGAUGAGCUGUUCCAUCAUCUUCCCAAGGAUUGAGGUGAGGCUGCCUGGCCUGUAGUUCUGGAAAAGGAAAGUCAAACAAAGGAAUUCAGAUCUCGUUAUGCACUGAUUUACUGAAAGAUCAGGAGUGCUUAUAAGCCGGCAUACUGUUUCACAACUUCAAUGCACUCUGGCAAACAGAAAGACACAACACAAGCAGCUACUGAUCAACAACCUUACAACGUUAACUGAUAAGAGCAAUGGCCAGAACAUGGAACUAUUCCUGUGAGUCAAGACUUCAGCAAUACCUUGAUAUUUGUGAAUUAUGCAGAAUUUGCUUAUAAUACACAGACUUAUCCAGCUCUAUUGCCUAGAGAAAAACACAUUUUAUCAUCACUAUUCAUGCCUUCCAUUCUUGACACCUCUUUGAAAGCACAAGAAGUGCUGCCUUGUGUAACAUUGUGGUCAUCCGCUCUAGGGAGAGAUUCCUGCUACAUUAUGAGUUGGUGGUAAGCCUUACUUUCUGGCAUAAUAAAAAUAGAUGGUCUGUCAAAAGAUGAUGUUCUCAAUGCUUUGUUUUGUAGUUCUAUCCUGCCAUCUUCUCUGAAUUAGCAAAUGUGAAAUGCAGCAUAUGGAUUUAUGAAAAGAAAAGUGCAAGAUGUGAAAUAUCCUGAGUAUCUGGAUCUUCGAACAUACGCAUCUCAAUCCGUUGGAGAACCACUCCUCUAUGCCUUAUAUGCAGUCCUGGUAUAUAGAGGUGUCAGUAGUCAUGCAGGACGUUAUUUCUGCUACACAAAGAAAGUGUGCAGUUCCUCUGAAGACAUGGCUGCUUUUAUUUGCAGGCUGCUGGUAGACUUUGAUAUGAGAUGAAUGAUGCCUCUGUAGUCUUUUGUGAAAUCAAAAUGGUUCUCAGUCAGCAAGCUUAUUUACUUUUUAAUAUCAGAAAUCAAGUCAUUUAAAUGGAAAUGAACCCCUAAAAGAAGAUCCAAAUACCAUUGCUGUUACCCUAGAAAGGCCUUCUUCGGCUCCACCAACAGCUUGUGUUCAAAACUAGGCAAUUACCAGGCCUUUAUUUGCUGAUCCCUCAGAAAAACAAAAGAUCACUUCAUAACAAACUGCCUGCACAUCAAACUGUCUCAGCCUGACUGUUUUAGCAGUGCUGUGGUGGAUGAGGAUCUAAACAAGCCUGUUCCUUCAUCCACAGUGUGGCGGACAGAUGAGUGAAUUUUUGCCUUAAACGUUUCUUGGUACAUAAGGUGAAAGCCUUUCUGCGCACAUUGCAGAUUUUGCAGGAAACCAUAACCCCGAACAAGCCAUC